CCUACGGGUGGCAGCAGUGAGGAAUAUUGGUCAAUGGGCGAGAGCCUGCACCAGCCAAGUCGCGUGAAGGAUGACGGCCCUACGGGUUGUAAACUUCUUUUGUCAGGGAGCAAUUGAGUCCACGUGUGGUCUUAGCGAGAGUACCUGAAGAAAAAGCAUCGGCUAACUCCGUGCCAGCAGCCGCGGUAAUACGGAGGAUCCGAGCGUUAUCCGGAUUUAUUGGGUUUAAAGGGAGCGUAGAUGGGUUGUUAAGUCAGUUGUGAAAGUUUGCGGCUCAACCGUAAAAUUGCAAUUGAUACUGGCAGCCUUGAGUACAGUUGAGGUAGGCGGAAUUCGUGGUGUAGCGGUGAAAUGCUUAGAUAUCACGAAGAACUCCGAUUGCGAAGGCAGCUUACUAAACUGCCACUGACAUUGAUGCUCGAAAGUGUGGGUAUCAAACAGGAUUAGAUACCCUUGUAGUC
This 461-nucleotide ribosomal RNA is filed under the name uncultured bacterium. RNAcentral describes it as "partial 16S ribosomal RNA". It matches the Rfam family "Bacterial small subunit ribosomal RNA", at positions 338 to 795 of the family's 1533-position model. The record is from RNAcentral.